CCGUGCAUCGAAUUGAGCUGAGAUUUGGCGGUUUUGGAGUCCAUUACUGGCCGACCAGGGUCAAGGUGAUCUUUUUUUGAAUAGUGGGUCCCAUACACGUGCAACCGGAAUCACACGCACGUGCGUCUGGGCCAUUGCUGCUAUCCACACGUGCGGUACUUCUUUGGUUCGUCUCUCUCCUCUUUUUCACUCCUCUUUCACCUAAAAUCCUUAAACCUAACCUUAAAUUACUCGAAUCCCCAAUUUUGUGCCCUUUCUUCAACCUUAGGGUUCCCCGAAUUGAAAUUUCUGAAUCCCUUGGAUUGAGGGAAUUAUUUAUGUGCAUAUGCGGAUGAAUUUACUCUCAUUUGAUUCUUGUUUGGUCUAUAAUUUUGAUUGAUCCUGCCCUAACAUGUGUAGGCCUAGAUCCGCAUAAAAUUCCCCUUAAUUGAGUGUUUGAACUUUUGUGUGGGAUGUGGAAUUGUGUAAUUAUUUUUAAACUAGUGUGAUCUAAAGCUUGAGAAUCUUGCACGUCAUACUUGAAUUUCAUGUCUUGCAUCAGUCCAGGAUUACUCGGUGAGGGUGAUCGAAGACGAGAUAUCGUGGAGGCAGAAUUCUAGAAGUAAAUGGAUAAAGGAAGGAGACAAAAAUACCAAAUAUUUUCAUUCUCUAGCUAGCACGCUAGCCAGAAAGAACAAGAUCAGAAGUCUGUUGGUGCAUGGAGUGCGUAUUGAAGACAAACAUCUUAUAUCAGAGGAGGCUAUUUCUUUUUUCAGAAAACUCCUUCAGGCAUAUGACUGGCGCAGACCAAAUCUGGACUUUCUCUCAUUUAUGCGUAUUUCCGACCUGGAAGCUUCAUUCCUUGAAUCUGAGUUUACAAUAGAAGAGGUUAAGGAUGCGGUGCAGGCGUUGGGAGGAGACAAGACCCCCGGUCCUGAUGGGUUUUCGAUUCUGUUUUUUCAGCAUUUUUGGAAAAUUAUUUAGGGAGACUUGAUGGCCUUUAUCAAGGAAUUUCACGAUAAAGGUAGGUUGUCGAGAUCGAUGGGGGCAUCCUUUAUUGUGCUUAUCCCUAAAAUUCAGCAGAAUCUUUGCAUGACUUUAAAUCGAUCAGUCUCCUUGGUGGGCCCUACAAAAUUCUGGCCAAAGUUCUAGCUUCUCGGUUGAAGGGGGUCUUAAGCAAGAUUAUAUCUCAUAAUCAAAGUGCGUUUAUCUCGGGUAGGCAAAUCACUGACAGUGCCCUCAUUGCUUUUGAAUGUCUAGACUCGAGUCAUAAAUCUGGAUCCAAGGGCCUCUUAUGCAGACUUGAUUUAGCGAAGGCUUACGAUCAUGUCGAUUGGAAUUUUCUUCAAUAUAUGCUUCAUAGGAUGGGUUUCGGGAUCAAAUGGGUGUCUUGGAUGAAGGAAUGUAUCAGGUUAGUGUUCUUCUCGAUUCUUAUAAACGAGUCCCCCAAAGGUUUCUUUCAGAGUUCAAGGGGUCUGCGGCAGGGAGAUCCGUUAUCCCCCUUUUUAUUCCUUAUCGUGGGAGAGGCCCUUUCAAGUAUAUUGAGCAAAGGCCAGGCGGAAGGCAUUAUCGGUGGCUUCAAGGUGAAAGGCAUGGACUCCCCUAUAUCUCGCAUUUAAUUCGCAGACAAUACUCUUCUUUUUUGUGAGGCAGAUCUCAACAAAGUAAUCUCCGUACCUCUAUCCGUUGUUUCGAAGCGGUUUUGGGCCUUAAAGUGAAUCUGAGAAAGUCAAGGAUGUUUGGCGUCAAUCUGGAUGAAGCUGAAUCUAGAGUUUUCUGAUUAUUUCGACUGUGUGUUGGGAUCUCUCCGGACCACCUUUGUUGGGCUCCCUUUAUGCGUAGGUAAACCUUCGUUGGUUUUAUGGGAUAAAGUAAUCGAUAGGUUUGAAUCAUAUUUAGCCAAGUGGAAAUGCAGAUAUUUAUCUUUAGGAGGUCGUCUUACUUUGAUUAAAGCGGCGCUCUCUAAUCUUCCCCUAUAUUUUAUAUCUCUAUUCAAAUGUCCGGCUAAGAUUCUCGUUAUAUUAGAAAGACUGAGACAUGACUUUCUUUGGCAAGGGAUGGAAGAAAAGAAGAAAUUUCAUUUGGUCAAUUGGAAAGAGGUUUGUCAGCAAUAUCAAGGAGGAGCUGGUGUUAGAAACCUUAAAGUUAUGAAUCAUGCCCUGCUAGGCAAGUGGUGGUGGAGACUUGGGAUAGAAAAUGGGGCUCUAUGAAAUAUUCUGAUCAAAUGCAAAUAUGGGCGCACGUCUGAAGGUUGGUGGUCUAAGGACUCUUCUUCCUAUAGAGCCUCUGCUCUAUGGAGAGGUGUGUUAUGUUCUAAUAAGGAAGUUCGCAGGAGUAUUGGUCAUUCUAUAGGCAAAGGAGAUAAAACCAGAUUUUGGGAAGAUAUCUGGGUAGGUUAUUCGGUUUUGAAAGAUGAUUUCCCCUCGAUAUAUCGUUUGGCUCCCAUCUCAUCCAUUGCGGUUGUUGAUUGCUACUCAAUCCAUGGUAAUGACGUUGUCUGGCAUCCCCCAUGUGGAAGGAACUUUCAUGACUGGGAAAUUGGAGAAUUUACUGCAUUACUUGAUCAUAUUGGUUAAUGUAAUCCAGAUAUUCUUCAAAAUGAUAGGCUUGUUUGGAGACCUGACAAAAAGGGGUUAUUUUCAGUGAAAUCCCUAUAUCUCUGUAUUGGCAGGAAAUCAGUUUUAACCGACGAGGUGAUGAUAGCUAAAGUGUGGAAAUAUAAAGUGCCUCCCAAGAUUGCAGUUUUCAGAUGGUUAGUGGGGAAGAGGAAAGUCCUUACAGUUGACAGUCUAAGAAAAAGGGGAAUGAUUAUCUCCAAUAUUUGUAUCUGCUGUAUGGCAAAUGAAGAAACAAUAGACCAUCUAUUCAUUCGCUGUCCUUUCUUCCAUCAGGUAUGGUCAGUCCUGCUUUCUUCGUUCGCGAUCUCCUGGACUUUCCCUCACUCUACGGAUCAUCUUCUCUCAGCCUGGCAUGGUGUCUCCCCGGGUAAAGAUAUUUCUCUGGUUUGGAGAAUGUCUCUUUUAGCUGUUUGGUGGGCAGUUUGGGAAGAAAGAAAUAGUAGGUGUUUUAGAGAUGUUUCCAAGUUGGUGGACUUCAUAGUCAAGAGAGUGCAUCAAUUUAUCAUUGAAUGGGCCUGUAGUAUGGUUAAUUUGUCAAGUUGUAAUUUUUCUCUUUUUUAAAGGGUGUUUGGCCUGCCUUCUCAGCGGGCUUUUCCCCUUCUUAUUCUCCCUUUCCUUUUAAUGAAUUCUUCAGUUAAUUCUUAAAAAAAAAAAAUCUUGUUCACAGCUGCACUCAUCAAAGAAGCGUUACUGUUGAAGAUCCUGCCAUUCCUUUCAAUCUAAAUAGACCAAAGCAAAGCUUGCACCACCAUACUCCGCAGAAGACGCCUGAUGGAACCCCAAGCCGAAGCUGAUCAGCCCUCAGUCAGCUCGAAAACAGAUUUUGGAAAACCCACUCGUGCCGAAUUUGGCAAUGACUGCUUGCCCAAACGUCUUCAACAAACUAAUAGUGGAUAAGGAGGUGGUCAAACAGUUCUUCAUUAACAUAGCACAUGAAGCACCUAUUUAGAGUUGCAGUCCCUCUGUGCUUGAGAUGAUCAACAAUUAAGAUCUUAAGGCUAGCCACAGUAAGGCUUUAAUCUUAAGAAGAAUAGUUGCUGACCAAAUCCUCUUAUAUGACAAUGAUCUACAAGAAUCACCUUCAGACAACACCAGGUAAAGAGAAUUGACUGAAGAUAGUGCAUCUGUUGUGAGGCCUAGAUAUGCCUAUCCUAGGGAUAUAAACCCCCUGUAAGGUAUCCAACGGACUUGCAAGAUUGUUGAUUGCUUCAUCUUUUAAAUUCUAUCUGAAGAAGUGCUCCUGAAUAAUUUGCCACCCAACCUCUGAAAGAAUUGAUCAACUGCAGUGCCUUUAUUGAUAGAUAGGACAUAUAUCAACUCAAAAGAUUCACUUAACGACAUGUCCGAGCAUCACAAGUCUUCCUAAAGAUGCAGUCUAUUUCUUUUGCUAACUCUGUGUCAGAAGUGGUUAAAAUUGAAAAAACUGAGCCUAUGAAAUUGCUUGCAAUAUAUUAUAACCAGCCAUGCAAGAAGCACAAUUGACGUCCCAUGGCCACCAAUUACUAACGCAGGACAACUAACCACUCGGUCUAAAAGCUCGAACUGAUAGAGCAUGGCAAAUCAAUCCCAUUUUCUCAUAGCGCAGGCCCCACAUCUCAUGGGUUAGGACCUUGGCCGAACCCUCCUCGUAGGCCCCACAUCAUAUGGGUACCGCCUCACACGGGCCGCCCACUCUGAGUUUGCUCCUGCAUCCCACAGGCCACCCCACUCGAGCCCGGUGUGAAAAUGCCCCUACAUUAAUUAGUGAUUUCAUUACCUGCAUCACAAUGUCAAAGAACCGUCUCUCUCAAACAAACCAAUGUUGGCUGGAUGCAACCAGGAAAAAAGAAAAGAAAAGAAAAGAUAACACACAGCUUCCUAAACGGUACAAGGGUAAUCUUAAUUCCAUGGGCAAAUCUUCGAGACAAUCUCUAUUAAAGUAACGUGAUGGCUAAAUCAAUGGACACUCCCUACUAAAUACAUAGGUGAAACUGUACUUUGGUUGGAGGUACUCCCAACAUUGGGACUAAGCAGUAUUAGUAAGUGACUAAUGGCAGCAAUACAGAUUCAUCGAUAGAGGCCAACAACCUUCUAGGGUUCCCAAAACGCCUAGAAAAAAGAAGAAAAUAACCUGAUCUCUUUAUGCUUAGAGAUUGAACAAGUGCAUCAAGACUCAAUUCCUGGCAAUACUGUUUGAUCCCAUUUUAUCCUCUGGUUACAUUGUACUUUUUAUGCCCACACAUAUCUAAUGCCACUGGCCUUUCAGUCUUAUUUAUGAUGCAUUGACGGUCUUGGUACUUCUGCAGUAUUGUUGUAGCAAGAACCAUUGCUUCUAAGAUUUAUAGAUGUCAGUUCUCCAGACUGCAGAAGCUUCCAGGCAACCUACUUUCUACCACAUGUGGUGGCGCAGGUGGUGAAUUGGGACUGUCCAUCUAGGGUUUCUGUAGUGGAUGGACUGCAGCUCAAAACUGCACAGCUCAGAUGACCCAAUCCCAUUCAUGGCUAACUGAGACUGUUCAUCUAUUUUUGGUAUUUUCCCAUUAAGUUGCACUAACAAUCUGAUUGCUAAGAUCUUCUGAUCAAUGUGUUAUUCACCAUCCAUGUUGCUAUAUUUACGGUGUUGUUUAUGUCAAGUAAGCUCAGUGGAGACGACUCCACUGUGAAUCAAGUCCCACUUCUGUGGUACUCUUACCCUAUAAUAUUAACUGGAAUU
This is a long non-coding RNA of Magnolia sinica, 5289 nucleotides long. RefSeq lists it as uncharacterized. The transcript has 2 exons. NCBI's taxonomy places the organism in Eukaryota, Viridiplantae, Streptophyta, Magnoliopsida, Magnoliales, Magnoliaceae. The record is from RefSeq and is a predicted model, not a curated record.